CAACCCUCAAGCCCUGGUUGCUUGGUGCUGGAGCUUCUUGUAGUGUAUAGCUACAAGUCUCUGAAAGACAUUGGCAGGAUUUUUAUAAACCCAAACGUAGUAAACUUAUUUCGUUUAGGGCGUUAUAGAGGUUCUUAAGCCGUAAAACACUAUAUUUUAUAU
RNAcentral lists this unclassified non-coding RNA (162 nucleotides) under uncultured Ascomycota. Its description in RNAcentral is "sequence contains ITS2". Lineage: Eukaryota; Fungi; Ascomycota. The record is from RNAcentral.